Molecule: long non-coding RNA, 2133 nt
Filed under: Podarcis lilfordi (Lilford's wall lizard)
Lineage: Eukaryota; Metazoa; Chordata; Lepidosauria; Squamata; Lacertidae
Source: RNAcentral
CUAAGAAUUGGAACUCCCCCAGUCUUUCAUUCUGGGUACAGUGUUUGCUUCAAUUCUUGGUGGCUGCCACUGAGCACUACCUCCUUUCACAUUUAACAUUAACCUGCAUAGACAUUGUAAAGUAUCAACAAGUGUUAUAACUAGCUAUGUGAACUCAGUACCAUUUAUACAUGAAGUAAAUGACAAGCAGGCCUCCAUAGUAAAGCCACAAUCAUGGCAGCAUGAAGGAGAUUCCUGACCUAUCCAUUAAAUACAGCUGAAUAGCUACUGCACAAAAUAGAAAUCUCUUUUGUUAUAAGCAUAUCUGUAAGUGCCAGGGUACUGUGUAUCAUUUGGUGGUUAUUUAUCAGUCAUUUCUGGUAAUACUGUCUUCAACAAAAACACAAACCUAAGUUUGUGCUUCUGCACAAAGCUAUUCUUUCCCUGGUCUAUUCUCAAGCUUAACAUCCAUGUGAUCCCCAUAUCAGAAGUGGCAGCUAACUACUUGAGUUACACAUAAAUAGGGGCCUGGAUAUAGAUGCUACCUUCAUAAACAUCACAGUACAAACCUCAUUUUAAUCAGCCUGUUUGCACAUGGAUCUUUUGCAGCUCUGAAAAAAAGACUCUAUCUCCAUAUGUACUAAAAAACAAGAGAUGAUACUCUUUAAAGUACAGUUCUCCAUCCACAAUAAAGCAAUUUAAAUAAUUUAUCCCGGUCCCAUAAUGUGAACUAGUUUAAUAAAAGGCAGCUGAUGUUUUAGGUCAGGAAAAGAGAGGGCUCCAAGGAAGAGUGUACAGUGGUGCCCCGCAAGACGAAUGUCUCACAAGACGAAAAACUUGCAAGACGAAAGGGUUUUGCGUUUUUUGAGUCGUUCCGCAAGACGAUUUUCCUAUGGGCUUGCUUCGCAAGGCGAAACGUCUUGCGAGUUCUUGCAGUUUGUUUCCUUUUCUUAAAGCCACUAAGCCGUUAAUGGCUGCUAAGCCGUUAAUAGCCGCUAAGCCGCUAAUAGCCGUGCUUAUAAGGCAGAAAAACUCGCAAGACGAAGAGACUCGCGGAACAGAUUAAUUUCGUCUUGCGAGGCACCACUGUACCUCUAACCAGGGCUUUUUUCCAGCCGGAAUUCAACGGAACUGAGUUCUGGCACCUCUCAGGUGGUUGCCAUUGUGAUUCUAAGAAGUGGGAAGUGUUUAUGGUCAGUUCCGGCACCUCUUUUUCUAGAAAAAUAGCACUGCCUCUAACAUAUUGCCAGUUUUUCAGCUAUCAAUGUGUUUCACAUAGCUGUGGGACAUUGAUAUAUACUGAUAUUGAACAUGCUCUGCUUUUGCACCCUGGCACCAUGCCUUCAUGUCAACAAUGCUGCUGUAUCAAGCAAAAUGAAGGACGGCUCUAAUAACACUUUCAUCAGGAAUGAUUCUGUAAAUUAAGUGAAUUCAGAGAGCCUAGCUGUAGUUAUUGUGGAUUCUCUGUGCAAGUCUCCACCAGGGAUUCACAAUCCUUGGCUUGCCUUGAUAACAAGCCAAAAUUCAUGCUUGUUAUGACUCACCAUGCUGAGAGAUGAGCAGGGUCUUACUUCAUAUCACACCAUUCUCUGAGCUAGGAGGUCGGUGGGCGUGGGGGGACUCUUGCUGCUUUCCAAGAGUCUCCAAGGCUCAGUUGUUAGCUGUUGAGCACCUGCUCUUCUCAGGAGAAGCACAUACAUUCUUUCCCAGUAUUGCACUCAAUAGGUUAGAAAUGUGCUCACCAGUGGUAUGUCUGUCUAUGAGCACUUCAUUUUUUCUUUAAAAAUUGAGUUAUGAAAAAGCUGUGCUAUAGAAAGCUUGAGUCAAGAGGUUGCCAUGCUUCACCCACCACUGCAAAUGUCUUGCUGUAACAGACUUUCUGAUUUGCCACAGCUUUGUAUGCCGAGUGUAUCACCAAAAAGAACAAAAAAAUAAAAUAAAACAAAUCUGUACUCCUCUUUGCUGGAUCAACUGCUAUCAUUACUGGCUCUCAUAAGGUCUAUUCCACACCCCGCCUCCCAGGUGACAUAAAAAGAAUAACAGUAGGGUCAUCAUUAGAAAGGAAGAACUACAAAUAAUAGUAUUACAAACAGAACAGAAGUAAUAACUUGUUUUACUCAAAGUUCUUGCAGUCCUAACACAAAUACGAGGAAG